CUACGGGCGGCAGCAGUGGGGAAUAUUGCACAAUGGAGGAAACUCUGAUGCAGCAACGCCGCGUGGAGGAUGACACAUUUCGGUGCGUAAACUCCUUUUAUAUGAGAAGAUAAUGACGGUAUCAUAUGAAUAAGCACCGGCUAACUCCGUGCCAGCAGCCGCGGUAAUACGGGGGGUGCAAGCGUUACUCGGAAUCACUGGGCGUAAAGAGCAUGUAGGCGGAUAGAAAAGUUGGAAGUGAAAUCCUGUGGCUUAACCAUAGAACUGCUUCCAAAACUCUCUAUCUAGAAUAUGGGAGAGGUAGAUGGAAUUUCUGGUGUAGGGGUAAAAUCCGUAGAGAUCAGAAGGAAUACCGAUUGCGAAGGCGAUCUACUGGAACAUUAUUGACGCUGAGAUGCGAAAGCGUGGGGAGCAAACAGGAUUAGAUACCCUGGUAGUC
This 439-nucleotide ribosomal RNA is filed under the name uncultured bacterium. RNAcentral describes it as "partial 16S ribosomal RNA". It matches the Rfam family "Bacterial small subunit ribosomal RNA", at positions 339 to 795 of the family's 1533-position model. The record is from RNAcentral.